Long non-coding RNA from Diceros bicornis minor, 1313 nucleotides. RefSeq lists it as uncharacterized. NCBI's taxonomy places the organism in Eukaryota, Metazoa, Chordata, Mammalia, Perissodactyla, Rhinocerotidae. The transcript has 3 exons. The record is from RefSeq and is a predicted model, not a curated record.
CCUCAGGACCCAGAACUGUUGCCUGGGGACAAGACCAGGCUCCAAUCCCCUAAAUAGCCAUAUAAAAUCCUGAAUCCCAAAUCUGUCAUCCCUGGGCAUGCCAGUGACUCUUGGGACCCAGGAGUCCCCGUACCUAGACCCGGACCCUUUAGGUUUCCAGCUCCCUUCUCCCUCAAGAUCCAGGAGUUCAGGUGUUCAGCUUCCUACCUCAGACCCAGAGGUCUCGGCCCCGAGUCCCUCCUCCCUCUGGUCCCUAGUCCCUUCUCUCGGGUCCUCAGUCCCCUCCUCCCUCAGGACCUAGGAGUCUGGACUGAAGUCCUCAUCCUCCCUCAGGACAGGCUCAGGCCAGCGAAGAGCCCAGGUACGUGCCGCCAGAAACCCCAUUCAUGGCCCGUCUGCAGUCUACCGCGCCCACAACUACCCCCUAGUCUUGUCUUUCCGGAGGCGGGUCUGACACGGGAGUCCUCCAGUGUCUAGCUGUGAUAAGCUACCUGUGACGUCAGUCAUUAUCAUCCAGCCAAUAGACACGUUCCGCCUCCUACCUCCCGCGGCCACACAGGAGGCGUUCUCCGGUAGGCGGGGCCACGGGCCAAGUCGGACAGCGAUAGGCUCUCGAAGACGCCAGUCCUGCCAGGCUGCCAAUAGGCCGGGAACCUGCGGGGUGGGAAAGCAAGUCCGCUCCACAGAGACUGGAGCGGGCUCGUGAGGGAACAAGUUCUGCGGAUCCGGCCCGGCCUGUGCCCUGUUCUAGCCGCCUCCCUGGCCCCAGCAUGAGACCUGGCCAACUUGUUAUGGUCACUUGAUACAGAAGUGCUCCCCGAAGGACACCAGCCCGAUGGAGAUGGUCUGCAGGAAUGGCCGGAUGGCGGGCGUGAACUGUGGAGAGAUGCCGCUGCGUCACCCACUGUCCAGGAGAGGGAGUGGGGGCCGGCAGGAGUGAGGGGCAGAGAUAUGGGGGGAGACGCAGUCAUUCAGCAAACACUUAGUGAGCUCCUACUGUAUGCCAGGCACUGCCCUAGGCGCCUUCGUGGAGCUGAUGUUGUCGAAGGGAAGACAGACAAUAAGGAAAUAAAGAUAUACUAUAUAAUGUCAAGUAAUGAUUAAUGCUUUGAAAAGACAGUAGGUGGAGGGGACACAGAGCGAUGACGAGGGGUCAGGCUACUCAGACAGGUGGGGACUUGAGGAGGGAUCCAAAUGAAGCGAGGGAAGGCCGUUCCCUGCAGAGGACACGGCAAGUACAAAGGCUGUGAGGCGGCUCAGUGCUUGGCGUGGAGAAGGAAAGCUAGGGGCCAGUGUGGCCGGGGCAGAGUCAG